RNAcentral lists this long non-coding RNA (1378 nucleotides) under Homo sapiens (human). RNAcentral describes it as "long non-coding RNA NONHSAT168536.1". The record is from RNAcentral. Lineage: Eukaryota; Metazoa; Chordata; Mammalia; Primates; Hominidae.
GAGCACGCCAUCUUGAGACAUCCUUUUUUUAAGGAAAUCGACUGGGCCCAGCUGAACCAUCGCCAAAUAGAACCGCCUUUCAGACCCAGAAUCAAAUCCCGAGAAGAUGUCAGUAAUUUUGACCCUGACUUCAUAAAGGAAGAGCCAGUUUUAACUCCAAUUGAUGAGGGACAUCUUCCAAUGAUUAACCAGGAUGAGUUUAGAAACUUUUCCUAUGUGUCUCCAGAAUUGCAACCAUAGCCUUAUGGGGAGUGAGAGAGAGGGCACGAGAACCCAAAGGGAAUAGAGAUUCUCCAGGAAUUUCCUCUAUGGGACCUUCCCAGCAUCAGCCUUAGAACAAGAACCUUACCUUCAAGGAGCAAGUGAAGAACUCUGUGAAGGAUGGAACUUUCAGAUAUCAACUAUUUAGAGUCCAGAGGGAGCCAUGGCACUAGAAAUAGUUGAUAAUGAAAUGAGAUUUUAUGAAGUAUACCGCUCCACCUAUGAGCGUCUGUCUCUGUGGGCUUGGGAUGUUAACAGGAGCCAAAAGGAGGGAAAGUGUGAAGAAUAAAGUAGAUCUGAGAAAUUCUGAGCCAAUCAGGCUUCUUAAUUCAAGAGACAAACCAAGACGUUCUGUCAACUGUGCUGUGCUCUUCUUUAAGCCAAUGAACCCCAAUUCCUGGCAGUCUACAAGAAGUCUCUUAAUGCUAAUGAAGAAUUUAAAGGUCUUUUUAAGGAAAUGAAGGGCUUUCCAAAUAGAAUGAUUUACUCUGAAGAAACAAACAAUGGUAUCUCUGAAACUCACAACCUAAAGCCCAAUCUUGAAAAUAUGUUGUGCACCAAGACGACUGCUUCAGCUUCUUCUCUUAUCCUUACUUUCUUUAAUAGAUAUUUAUUAAACUGUCCAGUGAAAAGGUGCCACAAUGCCCAGUAUUGUAAACAACAGGUUUGCAUUCAUGAAGCUUUCAUUCAUUCUGGAGUCUACUAAUUUACCUGAAUGGUGUUUGCAUUCUGUGAAAUGCCUCUCCACGUUGCAUAUGUCACACUUUUGUCUGCACAUAACUCUUUUUUCACAAGAAGGGUCACUGCCACAACAGCACAGUCAGCGGGUGAAUUACAGGUGCCUGCUGCCUGCCUACCUGGGUAAUCUGAUCUUGUCUGUAUCGCCGUGUGCUCAUCACUGAAGAAUUGCAGGCCACUCAUGUCAGUGACCAGAUUUGUGGCUUAUAAACAUUAGCAGUUUAUUUAUGUUUUAAGAUGCAAAGAUGUGUGUUUGAUAUUCACUUUAAUAAUUAGAAAUGGAUCUUGUAAACAGGGCAUAUAUCAAAGAUGACCUUAUAAUAUGUACCCGAAUAUACAGUUCAAGAAUUUUGUCUGACUGGAAAUAAAUGCAUUUUGU